Long non-coding RNA from Anopheles arabiensis, 542 nucleotides. RefSeq lists it as uncharacterized. The record is from RefSeq and is a predicted model, not a curated record. The transcript has 3 exons. Lineage: Eukaryota; Metazoa; Arthropoda; Insecta; Diptera; Culicidae.
AACUUACAUAUUACCCAGGCUGGAUGGACGCAAGCCUUUAAAGUAUGAAUGCAAAAGUAUUGAAAACCUCGCCCGGAUUGGAACUUUAGAGAACUAAAAAAAAACAUGAAAUUGGGAGAGUCUUCCAAACACGCGGAUGUGUGCCUUUGAUGGAAACGGUUUAUUGCGCGGAUUCUAAUUACACCUCGUAAAAUGGUACCCGUUUUUCGGUCGCGAUGUCGAGAUGCCGCCGAGAUAUGAAGCGUGCGAAUUUGCGAAUUGCGAUGGCGAGAAAUCACCCGAUCGCGCACGAAUCGCACAGCUCAUUCGCCUCCUCCAACACGAACCAAUGUCCCAAUGUCCAGCGUCAUCUAUCGGCGAGAUUUAGUACUACUCAGAACCGCUGCAUCUUUUACUGUCAACCGAAGCUCUACGCAAGGUGGAUGCAAUCCGAGAUCAGACACACAUGGACACACGAGGACAAUUGCAGUAAGUAUUGCCUGAUUUUGUAUCUCUGAUGUUUGUUCAAUAAAAUGAAUAAAUACAAAAAUGCACUUGCCUAU